UCGUAACAAGGUUUCUGUAGGUGAACCUGCAGAAGGAUCAUUAGUGAAGAUUUGGGCGGGCCAUACGGACGCCAAAAAGUGUCCCUGGCCGCCUACACCCACUAUACAUCCACAAACCCGUGUGCACUGUCUUGGAGAAAGGCUUCAGAGAAGUUUUUUGUGGCCUCUCUUGGGGUCUUUCUUCGCUACAAACUCGAAUGGUUAGUAUGAACGUGGAACUUGGUUGGACCGUCACUGGCCAACAAACUAUACACAACUUUCGACAACGGAUCUCUUGGUUCUCCCAUCGAUGAAGAACGCAGCGAAACGCGAUAGGUAAUGUGAAUUGCAGAAUUCCGUGAAUCAUCGAAUCUUUGAACGCACCUUGCGCUCUAUGGCAAUCCGUAGAGCAUGCCUGUUUGAGUGCCAUGAAAUCUCCCACCCCAAGCGGUUUUUAAAUGAAACGGCUUGGCGGAUGGGGUCUGGAUGGGUGCCUCUGCCUGCGCUACCUAGCACAGACUCGCCCGAAAUGCAUGAGCGCCUUGAGACACUUUGCAUCCGCCUCUCUGUUUGGGAGGAGGCGGCCAAGCAGUGUUUUUCUCCUGGCAUGGCAUGAUACGUCAUUUGCUAUGUCGCCUAAAGGAGGAAUGUUUGGUUGUGUCUGCGUGUGCUUCGAACUUGCCUCUGUGGCACAUCCCAAUUUCACUUCUGGUCUCAAAUCAGGUAGGAUCACCCGCUGAACUUAAGCAUAUCAAUA
This 736-nucleotide ribosomal RNA is filed under the name uncultured eukaryote. Its description in RNAcentral is "eukaryotic LSU rRNA". The stretch from base 255 to 408 matches the Rfam family "5.8S ribosomal RNA". The record is from RNAcentral.